GAUGAACGCUGGCGGCGUGCCUAACACAUGCAAGUCGAGCGAACAGACGAGGAGCUUGCUCCUCUGACGUUAGCGGCGGACGGGUGAGUAACACGUGGAUAACCUACCUAUAAGACUGGUAUAACUUCGGGAAACCGGAGCUAAUCCCGGAUAAUAUAUUGAACCGCAUUGUUCAAUAGUGAAAGACGGCUUUGCUGUCACUUAUAGAUGGAUCCGCGCCGCAUUAGCUAGUUGGUAAGUUAACGGCUUACCAAGGCAACGAUGCGUAGCCGACGUGAGAGAGGGAUAGCCGACACGGGAGCUGGGACACGGUCCAGGCUCCUACGGGAGGGAGCAGUAGGGAAUGUGCCGCAGUGGGCGAAAGCCUGGCAGAGCAGGGCCACGUGAGUGAUAGAAGUCUUCGGAUCGUAAAACUGUGUUAUUAGGGAAAAACAAAUGUGUAAGUAACUAUGCACGGCUUGACGGUACCGAGUCAGAAAGCCACGGCUAACUACGUG
This 497-nucleotide ribosomal RNA is filed under the name uncultured bacterium. RNAcentral describes it as "partial 16S ribosomal RNA". It matches the Rfam family "Bacterial small subunit ribosomal RNA", at positions 28 to 507 of the family's 1533-position model. The record is from RNAcentral.